UACGUAGGGGGCGAGCGUUGUCCGGAAUGAUUGGGCGUAAAGGGCGUGUAGGCGGCCUGGUAAGUCUGGAGUGAGAGUCCCGUUUUCAAGGUGGGAAUUGCUUUGGAUACUGUCAGGCUUGAGUGCAGGAGAGGUUAUCGGAAUUCCCGGUGUAGCGGUGAAAUGCGUAGAGAUCGGGAGGAACACCAGUGGCGAAGGCGGGUAACUGGACUGCAACUGACGCUGAGGCGCGAAAGUGUGGGGAGCAAAC
RNAcentral lists this ribosomal RNA (250 nucleotides) under uncultured prokaryote. RNAcentral describes it as "partial 16S ribosomal RNA". It matches the Rfam family "Bacterial small subunit ribosomal RNA", at positions 524 to 773 of the family's 1533-position model. The record is from RNAcentral.